RNAcentral lists this non-coding RNA (50 nucleotides) under unclassified sequences. The record is from RNAcentral.
GGGUACCGCUCCCGAAAAUCUGCAGCGCUCGGUACAAGCGCGCAAUCUGG